CCCUUAGAUGUUCUGGGCCGCACGCGCGCUACACUGACGAAUGCAACGAGCUUAUAACCUUGGCCGAAAGGUCUGGGUAAUCUCCAAAUUUCGUCGUGAUGGGGAUAGAUUAUUGCAAUUAUUAAUCUUCAACGAGGAAUGCCUAGUAAGCGCAAGUCAUCAGCUUGCGUUGAUUACGUUCCUGCCCUUUGUACACACCGCCCGUCGCUCCUACCGAUUGAAUGGUCCGGUGAAGCGUUCGGACCGUGGCCUUUGGACGGUUCGCCGUCUGUUGGCUGCGGGAAGUUCGUUAAACCUUAUCAUUUAGAGGAAGGAGAAGUCGUAACA
This 327-nucleotide ribosomal RNA is filed under the name uncultured eukaryote. RNAcentral describes it as "partial 18S ribosomal RNA". It matches the Rfam family "Eukaryotic small subunit ribosomal RNA", at positions 1470 to 1796 of the family's 1831-position model. The record is from RNAcentral.